Molecule: ribosomal RNA, 959 nt
Filed under: uncultured bacterium
Lineage: Bacteria
Description: bacterial SSU rRNA
Rfam family: Bacterial small subunit ribosomal RNA
Source: RNAcentral
UACGUGNCAGCAGCCGCGGUAAUACGUAGGUCCCGAGCGUUNUCCGGAUUUAUUGGGCGUAAAGCGAGCGCAGGCGGUUAGAUAAGUNUGAAGUUAAAGGCUGUGGCUUAACCAUAGUACGCUUUGGAAACUGUUUAACUNGAGUGCAGAAGGGGAGAGUGGAAUUCCAUGUGUAGCGGUGAAAUGCGUAGAUAUAUGGAGGAACACCGGUGGCGAAAGCGGCUCUCUGGUCUGUAACUGACGCUGAGGCUCGAAAGCGUGGGGAGCGAACAGGAUUAGAUACCCUGGUAGUNCACGCCGUAAACGAUGAGUGCUAGGUGUUAGGCCCUUUCCGGGGCUUAGUGCCGCAGCUAACGCAUUAAGCACUCCGCCUGGGGAGUACGACCGCAAGGUUGAAACUCAAAGGAAUUGACGGGGGCCCGCACAAGCGGUGGAGCAUGUGGUUUAAUUCGAAGCAACGCGAAGAACCUUACCAGGUCUUGACAUCCCGAUGCCCGCUCUAGAGAUAGAGUUUUACUUCGGUACAUCGGUGACAGGUAGUGCAUGGUUGUCGUCAGCUCGUGUCGUGAGAUGUUGGGUUAAGUCCCGCAACGAGCGCAACCCUUAUUGUUAGUUGCCAUCAUUCAGUUGGGCACUCUAGCGAGACUGCCGGUAAUAAACCGGAGGAAGGUGGGGAUGACGUCAAAUCAUCAUGCCCCUUAUGACCUGGGCUACACACGUGCUACAAUGGCUGGUACAACGAGUCGCAAGUCGGUGACGGCAAGCUAAUCUCUUAAAGCCAGUCUCAGUUCGGAUUGUAGGCUGCAACUCGCCUACAUGAAGUCGGAAUCGCUAGUAAUCGCGGAUCAGCACGCCGCGGUGAAUACGUUCCCGGGCCUUGUACACACCGCCCGUCACACCACGAGAGUUUGUAACACCCGAAGUCGGUGAGGUAACCAUUUGGAGCCAGCCGCCUAAGG